Molecule: long non-coding RNA, 206 nt
Filed under: Polistes fuscatus (common paper wasp)
Lineage: Eukaryota; Metazoa; Arthropoda; Insecta; Hymenoptera; Vespidae
Description: uncharacterized LOC122525317
Source: RNAcentral
GAGGAGGAGGAGGAGGAAGAGGUGGGGAAAAUUUUCAAGGCAUAAGCUUGACUCGCUACGAAGCAAGCAAGCAAGCAAGCAAGCAAGCAUGCCAGCCAGCUGCGCGAUCAAAUAAUGAAUCUAUUGUAAUAGGAGUAAAAGGUAUUACGAUUCUUAUGAAUGGAGGUAAAUUCAAGGAGAGAAUGAAAAUCGGAAAAGAAAGAAGA